GUUAAAAAGCUCGUAGUUGAAUUUCUGCUACAUUGCCUAUUCUCCUUUACGAGUUUGGGUCUUUUGUGGCUUAUCUGGGUUCGCGUUGCGUUCCCGGUGUUUUACUUUGAGAAAAUUAGAGUGCUCAAAGCAGGCUUUUGCCUUGAAUAGUUUAGCAUGGAAUAAUAAAGUAGGACUUUGGUUCUAUUUUGUUGGNUUUAGGUACCAAAGUAAUGGUUAAUAGGAACAGUUGGGGGCAUUCGUAUUUAACUGUCAGAGGUGAAAUUCUUAGAUUUGUUAAAGACAAACUACUGCGAAAGA
This 300-nucleotide ribosomal RNA is filed under the name Theileria velifera. RNAcentral describes it as "SSU rRNA". It matches the Rfam family "Eukaryotic small subunit ribosomal RNA", at positions 618 to 952 of the family's 1831-position model. The record is from RNAcentral. Lineage: Eukaryota; Apicomplexa; Aconoidasida; Piroplasmida; Theileriidae.